This is a non-coding RNA of Lottia gigantea (owl limpet), 46 nucleotides long. The record is from Rfam. Lineage: Eukaryota; Metazoa; Mollusca; Gastropoda; Lottiidae.
CUGAAGGUUUUUUUUAAAACCACCACACUUAUACAAUGCCUGUACA